UGGAAAGGCGCGCGAUACAGGGUGACAGCCCCGUACACAAAAAUGCACAUGCUGUGAGCUCGAUGAGUAGGGCGGGACACGUGGUAUCCUGUCUGAAUAUGGGGGGACCAUCCUCCAAGGCUAAAUACUCCUGACUGACCGAUAGUGAACCAGUACCGUGAGGGAAAGGCGAAAAGAACCCCGGCGAGGGGAGUGAAAAAGAACCUGAAACCGUGUACGUACAAGCAGUGGGAGCACGCUUAGGCGUGUGACUGCGUACCUUUUGUAUAAUGGGUCAGCGACUUAUAUUCUGUAGCAAGGUUAACCGAAUAGGGGAGCCGAAGGGAAACCGAGUCUUAACUGGGCGUUAAGUUGCAGGGUAUAGACCCGAAACCCGGUGAUCUAGCCAUGGGCAGGUUGAAGGUUGGGUAACACUAACUGGAGGACCGAACCGACUAAUGUUGAAAAAUUAGCGGAUGACUUGUGGCUGGGGGUGAAAGGCCAAUCAAACCGGGAGAUAGCUGGUUCUCCCCGAAAGCUAUUUAGGUAGCGCCUCGUGAAUUCAUCUCCGGGGGUAGAGCACUGUUUCGGCAAGGGGGUCAUCCCGACUUACCAACCCGAUGCAAACUGCGAAUACCGGAGAAUGUUAUCACGGGAGACACACGGCGGGUGCUAACGUCCGUCGUGAAGAGGGAAACAACCCAGACCGCCAGCUAAGGUCCCAAAGUCAUGGUUAAGUGGGAAACGAUGUGGGAAGGCCCAGACAGCCAGGAUGUUGGCUUAGAAGCAGCCAUCAUUUAAAGAAAGCGUAAUAGCUCACUGGUCGAGUCGGCCUGCGCGGAAGAUGUAACGGGGCUAAACCAUG
This 844-nucleotide ribosomal RNA is filed under the name Escherichia coli. RNAcentral's name for it is "partial 23S ribosomal RNA". It matches the Rfam family "Bacterial large subunit ribosomal RNA", at positions 343 to 1191 of the family's 2925-position model. The record is from RNAcentral. Lineage: Bacteria; Pseudomonadati; Pseudomonadota; Gammaproteobacteria; Enterobacterales; Enterobacteriaceae.